GAUGAACGCUGGCGGCGUGCCUAAUACAUGCAAGUAGAACGCUGAAGGAGGAGCUUGCUUCUCCGGAUGAGUUGCGAACGGGUGAGCAACGCGUAGGUAACCUGCCUGGUAGCGGGGGAUAACUAUUGGAAACGAUAGCUAAUACCGCAUAACAGUAGAUAUCGCAUGAUAUCUGCUUGAAAGGUGCAAUUGCAUCACUACCAGAUGGACCUGCGUUGUAUUAGCUAGUUGGUGAGGUAACGGCUCACCAAGGCGACGAUACAUAGCCGACCUGAGAGGGUGAUCGGCCACACUGGGACUGAGACACGGCCCAGACUCCUACGGGAGGCAGCAGUAGGGAAUCUUCGGCAAUGGACGGAAGUCUGACCGAGCAACGCCGCGUGAGUGAAGAAGGUUUUCGGAUCGUAAAGCUCUGUUGUAAGAGAAGAACGAGUGUGAGAGUGGAAAGUUCACACUGUGACGGUAUCUUACCAGAAAGGGACGGCUAACUACGUG
Molecule: ribosomal RNA, 495 nt
Filed under: uncultured bacterium
Lineage: Bacteria
Description: partial 16S ribosomal RNA
Rfam family: Bacterial small subunit ribosomal RNA
Source: RNAcentral